This 3539-nucleotide long non-coding RNA is filed under the name Olea europaea subsp. europaea. Lineage: Eukaryota; Viridiplantae; Streptophyta; Magnoliopsida; Lamiales; Oleaceae. The record is from RNAcentral.
CCUCUUGGUUCAAAUUUGUCUUUGUGAGAUUUGGUAUUGGUUAUGUAACAAAGGCAUCCAAAGGUUUUUAGGGAAGAAAAAUCUGGUUUAGUCUUGUAUAGGAUCUCAAAAUGAGUCUUCCAAUUUAGCACUGAACUGGGAAUUCUGUUUAUAAUGUGUGUGGCCAUUAUUAUAGAGUGUGACCAGAAGUAUCGAGGUAAAUGAGCUUGAAACAUGAGGGAUCUGGCCAUUUGGAGUAAAUGUCUGUGUUUUCUUUCUACAACUCCAUUUUGUUGUGGAGUGUAGACACAUAAUUUUUGGUGAAGAAUUCCUAAAGUUUGGAGCAAGGUCUGACAUUCAUUUCCAGUAAAUUCACUUCCAUUGUCCAUUCUAAUAGUUUUAACAUCCUUUUUGAACUGAUUUUUAAUCAUUUUGAAGAAGACUUCUAAGGUCUUAACAGUCUGGGAUUUGUGCACAAGCAUGAAGGUCCAUGUGCCUCUACUGUAGUCAUCUACAAUGGUGAGCAUAAAAGGUGUUCCAGUCAGGUUAUGUUGUCUAUAGGGACCCCAUAUGUCAAUGUGCAACAACUCAAAGGUGGUUUUUGAAUGAAUUUGUGAGUUUUGAAACGGGAGUCUGUUUUGUUUGGCUUUGUGACAAACAUCACAUGGUUCAACAUUCUUAAUGGCAGAAUUAUUGCAAAGUUGUUUAAGGAAGCUGAGAUGUUGUAAGCAUUGAAAUGAAGCAUGACCAAGUUUGAUAUGCCAAUCAACAAGAGAAAAGGGAGAAGCCUUAUCAUUAAAAGGAAUUUUAUUUCCAGAAUUCGAAUUCUCAGUAGAUAGAAGAUUACAGAUGUUCAUUCUCCUACAACAAAUUUCAACUCCAUUAUUCUGGAAACUAUGGUCAUAAGUGUGUAUAACUUUCCAUUCAAUUUUCCAACUGCCAUCGUCCUAUCACUCUUCAGGUCUUGCAUCACGCAAUAUGUAGGAUGGAAGAUAAAUUUAAUCUGUGCAGUUCGACAGAGUUUAGGGACUGAUAGUAAAUUAAGUUUAAAAGUAGGUACGUGAAGAACAUCAGUUAAAGUGAUUUUGUGGUUCAUGGCAAUGGUUCCAAUGUGUUUGACAGCUUUGACAGAACCAUCAGGUAGCAAAACGGAGGUAGGCUGUGUGACUGGUUUUAAGUUGGUCAAUUGUGAUGAAUUUGUGCAUAUGUGAUUGCUGGCACCAGUGUUAAUAAUCCAAGUACCAUAUUUCAAUUCAUCAAGUGAAGUAAAAACAAAGUGUUGAGUGUGCGUACCAGAAUAAUCCCUGAGAUGUGCAAAAUUCACUUGAUCUUCAUUAUCAUUAAGCUUCUUUCCUUUCAGUAUUUUCAUCAGUUCUUGCUGAACAAUGGCAACAAUAUCGGAAGAGGAUGAUGUAUCCUUUGUAGUCACAGCAGCAAAAUCAUUAUCAAAAUCAAGUGGUGAAUUAUCUAUUUUCAUCACAUUAUUUGAAGCAUUCCUCCAGCUAGGAUCCUUUGGUUUUUGAUCUUUUUUGUACCAAUCCGGAAAGCCAAUAAUUCUGAAACAUCCUUCCUUUGAAUGUCCACUCAUACCGCAGUGGUCACAGUACAUCAACUCCUUAUCAAAAUUGCCAUAUCUUCUGUUAAUUCCCCUUCCUAUAGCAUGGUUUCCUCUACCAAAAGCAGAUCUACCUGUCCAAUUUCCUCUUCCAGAUCCAUUUCUUCCACAUCCAUCAUUCCUAGUAUUAACUCCUCUAAUCAUCAUCGCAGUGUUAUCAUUGGGUUCAGGAUACAACAUAUGCACUUCUCUUUGUUUUUCCACUCUUAGAACCAUAGAAUAGGCUCUAUUCACUAAGGGUAAAGGCUCCAUUACAAGAACUUGAUUUCUGACAUUGUCGUAUGUAUCAUUCAGCCCCAUCAAAAAUUGCAUAAGUUUGUUGAAAGAAGCUGAAUCAGAGACUUCCUUCGCAGCUCCACAUGUACAGACCGGUGAUGGCAUAAGACAUGCUAUUUCAUCCCAUAAUUUUUUAAGAUUGGUGAAAUAUUUCUCCACCGUCAUUGAUCCUUGUGUUAUACUACUGAUCUCUCUCUGCAACUGGUAAAGUAAUGGCCCAUUGCAUUCACCAUAUCUUUCGUUUAAUUCAUCCCAUAAAUCCUUGGCUGAUGUCGUGAAAAUAAAUGCCUCCACAAUUUCCUUCGAGAUUGAAUUUAAGAUCCAAAAUCUAACCAUGCAGUCUACCCUAUUCCAUUGAUCAAAAUUUUGAGAUUCACUAUCUGGUUUCUCACAUUUCCCGUUUAUGAAGCCUAACUUCAAUUUUGCACCUAAUGCUAUUUUAAUGGACCUGCUCCAACUGUGAUAAUUUUUACCUGUCAAUUGUGAAGUCACAAGGAUCAUUCCUGGAUGAUCCGAACUCUACAAAUCCAAUGGAUCUCCAUUGGAAUACUCCUUUGCUGCUGCUCCUUGUUCAAGUGGCGGAGGAUUUUGUAGAUCAUUAUUUUGAUCGUUGUUGUUUGCCAUCCUUUUUCUGAUAUGUUUAUCACUUCAAAACUUUAUGUGUGCGAGACGAUAUAAGGCUCCGAUACCAUGAUCAAAGCUGGAAGAAGAAGUGAAGUGAAAUGUGCAGUAAAAUGGAUGGUAUCAGAGCUUCAAUUUGAUACCAUCUUUAUUUUUUGCUGAUUCUGGUGGUUUAUGGAUUAGUUUUCUAAGAUUUGACAGUGAGAUGGUUGUAAUUUUUCAGAAGAAAAAUAUCACAAUUUCAGAAAGGGCUUCAAUUUGAUAUCAUUUGAAGUAAUUUUUCAUGGUUAAUCUAUUAAUUAGCUGAGUUUACUUAUUUGGUUGAAGUUAUGGCAUCUGGUUUUGAUGAUAUGUUGCUGGUUAUCGAAACCAGAGAAUUGAGGGUUUUUGGGAAAAUGAAUUUUACUCGAGUUGUCUACACAAGUUAGGACUAUUUUAGUUUAUAGUAAGAUCGAGUUACCAACUGAAAUCACCCAGAGCCUUGAAAUAUAAUGAAAUUUCUUCUGCACAAACAUUUGAGCAAUCUCAUGCCUAGUCAACUAUAACCACAACGUUCAAUGGCAAUGGAGUAUGUGAUCUAUGAUCUGUACCAUCGACAAGCUUAUGAUUCCAUACAACGUGGCGAGGAAGACAAGCUUUCUUACGAACCCCUUUACUUGAACUACUAACUUGCAAGGUCAGGUAACAAGACAAAUAGGAGAAAUUUUAACUGGAACCGUAAUAUUCUAGGCUUUUUACAAUUUUGUUUAUUCAUCUCAUAAUGACACUAUGCACUUCAGUGCGUCAGUGGAAUAUCACAUAUGUUUUUUGACUUUGUAUAUAAUUACAAUAUGUAUUUCUCAAUGGAUACAAAACUCCCAUGCUUUGUGCCUAAUUGCACGACUCCACUUGCAGUAGUCCUCAAGUUAUUUCUUCUUAAAAUAUUUCACGGGCAUCCUUCGUUUUUUUCCCAUUGACCCAAAGGUCCCAUAUGCAGACCCUGGAGAAGAGACCUGGAUUUAUCAUGGUAGGCUCCCAGAGCGAUGGUAAACGGACCAUCCUUUCCCGU